Molecule: long non-coding RNA, 289 nt
Filed under: Brassica napus (rape)
Lineage: Eukaryota; Viridiplantae; Streptophyta; Magnoliopsida; Brassicales; Brassicaceae
Description: long non-coding RNA (BNAP_LNC011734)
Source: RNAcentral
UUUUGAUAACCUCGUAGUGAAAGUUAUGCUUCAUUGCACAUAUCUCGAAAGUCGCCUUCAGCAAAGUUUUGUUCUCAAACAAUUGUCCCUUCUUAACAACAUUGAGCACAAAAAACUUUGACAUCUUAUGUAUGUCCUCUUUGGCCGAGAUCAUGGUAUCAGCAUGAUAGGCAUCCUCAUCAACUUCGACUCUGCUAAUCUUUUCUUUCUUUUUCUCGCACUGCCUCUCAACAAACACAGGAGCUGGUUCGUUCCCCCUAUCAACCGAGUUUCCCUCCUCUUGAGCAGU